Molecule: ribosomal RNA, 630 nt
Filed under: uncultured Alphaproteobacteria bacterium
Lineage: Bacteria; Pseudomonadati; Pseudomonadota; Alphaproteobacteria
Description: bacterial SSU rRNA
Rfam family: Bacterial small subunit ribosomal RNA
Source: RNAcentral
CUAACACAUGCAAGUCGAACGAGAUCUUCGGAUCUAGUGGCGCACGGGUGCGUAACGCGUGGGAAUCUGCCCUUGGGUACGGAAUAACUCAGAGAAAUUUGUGCUAAUACCGUAUAAUGUCUUCGGACCAAAGAUUUAUCGCCCAAGGAUGAGCCCGCGUAGGAUUAGCUAGUUGGUGAGGUAAAAGCUCACCAAGGCGACGAUCCUUAGCUGGUCUGAGAGGAUGAUCAGCCACACUGGGACUGAGACACGGCCCAGACUCCUACGGGAGGCAGCAGUGGGGAAUAUUGGACAAUGGGCGAAAGCCUGAUCCAGCAAUGCCGCGUGAGUGAUGAAGGCCCUAGGGUUGUAAAGCUCUUUUACCCGGGAUGAUAAUGACAGUACCGGGAGAAUAAGCUCCGGCUAACUUCGUGCCAGCAGCCGCGGUAAUACGAGGGGAGCUAGCGUUGUUCGGAAUUACUGGGCGUAAAGCGCGCGUAGGCGGUUUUUUAAGUCAGAGGUGAAAGCCCGGGGCUCAACCCCGGAAUUGCCUUUGAAACUGGAAAACUAGAAUCUUGGAGAGGUCAGUGGAAUUCCGAGUGUAGAGGUGAAAUUCGUAGAUAUUCGGAAGAACACCAGUGGCGAAGGCGA